AAAUUACUUAAUGAAUUUUAUUACAUUUAUAGGUGUACAACAAUCAUCACAACCAAAUUUUACAGCAUUUCCAUCCCAAACCCUCAGUUCAUCCCCCCAUCCCCCAACCUGUCUCAUUCAUUUGGAAACCAUAAGUUUUUCAGUCUGUGAGUCAGUAUCUGUUCUGCAAAGAAGUUCAUUAUGUCCUUUUUUUAGAUUCCACAUGUAAGUGAUAGCAUUUGAUGUUGGUGUCUCAUUGUCUGACUGACUUCACUUAGCAUGAUAAUUUCUAGGUCCAUCCAUGUUGCUGCAAAUGCCGUUAUUUCUUUCCUUUUAAUGGCUGAGUAAUAUUCCAUUGUGUAUAUGUACCACGUCUUCUUAAACCACUCCUCUGUCAAUAGAUAUUUAGGUUGUUUCCAGGUCUUGGCUGGAAGUUCAAUUUUUUAAAAUUAAUUUGAGCAACUGGAGAGAUGAAAAAUAAACAUAAAAUUAAUGGAUGUUCCUCCUAACUAUUUAUCUAGCUCUGCCCUCUAGUUGUUGCAAUGCUUGUCACAUUAAAAAAGGGAAACCUGGAAUUCCUGUCAUGGCUCAGCAGUAAUGAACCUGACUAAUAUCUAUUAGGACUUGGGGCUGAUUCCUGGCCUUGCUUGUGAGUUAAGGAUCUGGCAUUGCUGUGAGCUGUGGUGUAGGUCACAGAUGCAGCUCUGAUUCGAUCUCUAGCCAGGAAACAUCCAUAUGCUGCAAGUGCAGCCCUAAAAAGCCAAAAAAAAAAGACCCUGCCAUAUGCCAUAGAUGUGGCCCUAAAAAGACAAAAAUCCCCCCCAAAAAAUAGGAAACAUGGGGAGUUCCUGUUGUGGCUCAGCGGUAUUGAAACCGACUAGUAUCCUUGAGGACAUGGGUUUGACACUUGGCCUUGCCCAGUAAGUUAAGGAUCCAGCGUUGCUAAGAACUGUCCUGUAAGUUGCAGAUGGGGCUUGGAUCCUGUGUUGCUGUGGCUGUGGUGCAGGCUGGCGGCUGCAACUCUGAUUCAACCCCUAGCUUGGGAACUUCCAUAUGCUGUGGGUGCGGCCCAAAAAUACCAAAAAAAAGGGGGGGGGGACUCGUAGGACAAGUAGGAACAAAAGAAACCAUUGAAGAAACCAUUAAAUUAAAUUAAAUUAAAAAAAAAAAAAAAAAAAGGAAACCUGGCCGUUGUUUCCCAAGAGCUCAUGGUGUUUAUUUAAGCCACGGAGGAGCACAGAAGAGUCUUAGCUGAGGAGGCGGCUCUACGGCUCACAGGCCCCACGAGCCCUGUGGUCUUGGGACAGACCGACUCCUGCGUGAGGACAGCUGUACUGCAUCCAGGGCUGCUGUGAGGAGGGAUGCGCGAGGGAGUGGCUGACAUUUGCGAGGAAGUCAGUGACUUUCUCAGGUGACACACAAAGCCUCUGCCUUCAGAGCAUGGAAAGGAGGUGGCAGUGAAGAGACUGGGCAGUAGAUUUUCCCCACUGUGAGUCAGUGGAAAAGAAAGCUGAAUGGACAGAGGAGGGCCCCAGCCAUCGAGAACUGUCUGGACAGUGUCCAACUUCGGGGAUCCUUCAGGAGAGUCAUGGUCUAGCAGGUUAGUCUGGGUGCCUGUGGAGCCUGGCUGGAAGUGGGGUGAUGAUGCUAGAUGAUGGGGAAUGGGGGUGAGUGGCGGGACUUAGGGAUGAGGAAGUGGGGGAGGAGCGGGAGUGAGACAGGGGCCACAGGAGUCGAAAGGAAAUCGGGUUUCCACCUGUUCUUUGCCAACGCUCGCCGCACCUCCACAUUUAUCUCCGCUUUUGCCUUUCUCCUCUUGGCUCUUCUGUCUCCCCACCGCACCCCCACAUCAGCCCUAUGUCCUUCUACCCCCCAGGUCCCUGGGUAAAGGAGGCUCAGCCCUCUUCAGCAUGAUGCAGAUGUGCCUAGCAGGUGCACCCUGGGUGAACUUGAUCUGGCUGGUUCUGGCAGGGUCAUAUGCUUGAGAGGCAGGCUGCUCUUUCUUUAGUGUGUGAGUGAGAAAAGCUACUGCUGGUUAGACCUCACAGGAAGCUGGAGCCAAGGGGUAGCACAUGACCUCAGGUGUAGCACAGCCAGUUGGGUGAGAAGAAGAGGUGACACCUCUGGGCUGCUGAGACCGCUUGCUCCUUGUACUCCAGGCCAAGGAAAUCAGGUCACCCUGCCCCCCUCCCUCUGCUGGAUGCUGAGGGACUGACUGCUGCCUAUGGGGAGGUAAAGAAAUAUUCAAGGACAAGCCGGCCAAGGCAAGACACCUGGGCGAGGGUCUCAAACUGGAGGCCCCUAGGACCGUUCCCCGGCAGAUAGGUUUUCUUGGGCCCACACUGGCCCUCUCACUCCCUGUUAUACCUUUCCCCUGUCUACCUCAUGUGUUUGCCCUCUUGGUGUCACCCCUGAGCUCAUGAAUUCACCAACUCCAUUCUAAGCAGGGCAUGAAAUGCAAAGAUGCUCCAAGGCUUCUGACUUCACUGGGGAAACGCACAGGCCAAGAGGGCUGAGCGUGCCAGACCCAGCGUGGGGUGGGGGGGAGACAUGCCAUUUUGGAGUUUGUUUUUUUGUUGUUGCUGUUUUUGUUUUUGACUUUUUAGGGCCAAACUCAAUGCAUAUGGAGGUUCCCAAGCUAAGGGUCGAAUCAGAGUGCGGUCCUAAAAAAAAGGAAAAACAAAACAAACAAAUAAAACCAAUGACAUGCAAAGGUAUCUAAGACAAUGUUAAGUGAAAAGAACAAGUUGUAUAACUGUGCAUCGUAGGAUAUCAUUUGAUCAAAAAAGGAAAAAAACGUAUUUAUUUAUUAAUUUAUGGUUGUACCC
RNAcentral lists this long non-coding RNA (2807 nucleotides) under Sus scrofa (pig). Its description in RNAcentral is "lncRNA (ENSSSCG00005021475.1)". The record is from RNAcentral. Lineage: Eukaryota; Metazoa; Chordata; Mammalia; Artiodactyla; Suidae.